Molecule: transfer RNA, 96 nt
Filed under: Dehalococcoidia bacterium
Lineage: Bacteria; Bacillati; Chloroflexota; Dehalococcoidia
Description: tRNA-Val
Rfam family: tRNA
About the family: Transfer RNA (tRNA) molecules are approximately 80 nucleotides in length. Their secondary structure includes four short double-helical elements and three loops (D, anti-codon, and T loops).
Source: RNAcentral
GGGCCCGUGGUCCAGUUGGUUAACCCAUAGUUGAGGCCAAAAGACGCUUCCCUCACGCGGAAGAGAUCGCCGGUUCAAAUCCGGCCGGGCCCACCA